Molecule: ribosomal RNA, 468 nt
Filed under: uncultured bacterium
Lineage: Bacteria
Description: partial 16S ribosomal RNA
Rfam family: Bacterial small subunit ribosomal RNA
Source: RNAcentral
GACGAACGCUGGCGGCGUGCUUAACACAUGCAAGUCGAACGGAAAGGCCCUGCUUUUGUGGGGUGCUCGAGUGGCGAACGGGUGAGUAACACGUGAGUAACCUGCCCUUGACUUUGGGAUAACUUCAGGAAACUGGGGCUAAUACCGGAUAGGAGCUCCUGCUGCAUGGUGGGGGUUGGAAAGUUUCGGCGGUUGGGGAUGGACUCGCGGCUUAUGCGCUUGUUGGUGGGGUAGUGGCUUACAAAGGCUUUGACGGGUAGCCGGCCUGAGAGGGUGAACGGCCACAUUGCGCCUGAGAUACGGCCCAGACUCCUACGGGAGGCAGCAGUGGGGAAUAUUGCACAAUGGGCGGAAGCCUGAUGCAGCAACGCCGCGUGCGUGAUGACGGCCUUCGGGUUGUAAACCGCUUUCGCCUUUGACGAAGCGUGAGUGACGGUAAUGGGUAAAGAAGCACCGGCUAACUACGUG